RNAcentral lists this ribosomal RNA (455 nucleotides) under uncultured bacterium. RNAcentral describes it as "bacterial SSU rRNA". It matches the Rfam family "Bacterial small subunit ribosomal RNA", at positions 340 to 786 of the family's 1533-position model. The record is from RNAcentral.
UACGGGAGGCAGCAGUGGGGAAUAUUGCACAAUGGGCGCAAGCCUGAUGCAGCCAUGCCGCGUGUAUGAAGAAGGCCUUCGGGUUGUAAAGUACUUUCAGUCGUGAGGAAGGUGUUAAGGUUAAUAACCUUAGCAAUUGACGUUAGCGACAGAAGAAGCACCGGCUAACUCCGUGCCAGCAGCCGCGGUAAUACGGAGGGUGCGAGCGUUAAUCGGAAUUACUGGGCGUAAAGGGCACGCAGGCGGUUAAUUAAGUUGGAUGUGAAAUCCCCGGGCUUAACCUGGGAAUGGCAUUCAAGCUGGUUAGCUAGAGUCUUGUAGAGGGGGUAGAAUUCCAUGUGUAGCGGUGAAAUGCGUAGAGAUGUGGAGGAAUACCGGUGGCGAAGGCGGCCCCUGGACAAAGGACUGACGCUCAUGUGCGAAAGCGUGGGGAGCGAAACAGGGAUUUAGAUACC